Molecule: unclassified non-coding RNA, 424 nt
Filed under: soil metagenome
Description: partial contains 5.8S ribosomal RNA, internal transcribed spacer 2, and large subunit ribosomal RNA
Rfam family: 5.8S ribosomal RNA (bases 1-120)
Source: RNAcentral
GAUGAAGAACGUAGCGAAAUGCGAUAAGUAGUGUGAAUUGCAGAAUUCCGUGAAUCAUCGAAUCUUUGAACGCACAUUGCGCCUUCUGGUAUUCCGGAAGGCAUGCCUGUUCGAGAGUCAUUAACAACCGUUUCGAUCCCUUUCUUUCAGAAAUUACAAAGAGGAAAAGGGUUUGGUUAUGGUGGUGGAGGGAAAGGGAGCGUUUAGCCUGUAAAAAAAGAGGCUGUGUUCCGCCUCCCCCCCAAAAUUGUACAGGCGGUCGUGUGCGCCCACGCAUCGAGGUGUUGUAAAAGCUGCCACGGCACUUUUCACCUGUGCAGUGGGAGAUUGGCCAGCCGGUUUAAAAACCCCUCCAAACAAUCAAAGGUUGACCUCGGAUCAGGUAGGGAUACCCGCUGAACUUAAGCAUAUCAAUAAGCGAGGA